This is a non-coding RNA of Parelaphostrongylus tenuis, 72 nucleotides long. Lineage: Eukaryota; Metazoa; Nematoda; Chromadorea; Rhabditida; Metastrongylidae. The record is from the annotation of a GenBank genome assembly.
GCGUCAGUAGUGCAACACUUAGCAUACGCUCCUGGAAAGAGUGAGAUCGGGGUUCGAACUCCGGCUGACGCA